UUGCCCAGUAACGGCGAGUGAAGCGGCAACAGCUCAAAUUUGAAAUCUGGCCUCGUGCCCGAGUUUGUAAUUUGUAGAGGAUGCUUUUGGCGACGCGCCUUCCGAGUUCCCUGGAACGGGACGCCAUAGAGGGUGAGAGCCCCGUCCGGUCGUGCGCCUAGCCUCUGUAAAGCUCCUUCGACGAGUCGAGUAGUUUGGGAAUGCUGCUCUAAAUGGGAGGUAUACGUCUUCUAAAGCUAAAUACCGGCCAGAGACCGAUAGCGCACAAGUAGAGUGAUCGAAAGAUGAAAAGCACUUUGAAAAGAGGGUUAAAUAGUACGUGAAAUUGCUGAAAGGGAAGCGCUUAUGACCAGACUUGGGCGCGGCGGAUCAUCCGGCGUUCUCGCCGGUGCACUCCACCGCCCCAGGCCAGCAUCAGUUCGCGCCGGGGGACAAAGGCUUCGGGAAUGUGGCUCUCUCGGGAGUGUUAUAGCCCGCUGCGCAAUACCCUGGCGCGGACUGAGGUCCGCGCUCUGCAAGGAUGCUGGCGUAAUGGUCAUCAGUGACCCGUCUUGAAACACGGACCAAGGAGUCGUCUUCGUAUGCGAGUGUUCGGGUGUCAAACCCCUACGCGGAAUGAAAGUGAACGUAGGAGAGAGCUUCGGCGCAUCUCCGACCGAUCCUGAUGUUCUCGGAUGGAUUUGAGUAAGAGCAUACGGGGCCGGACCCGAAAGAAGGUGAACUAUGCCUGUGUAGGGUGAAGCCAGAGGAAA
This 752-nucleotide ribosomal RNA is filed under the name Emericellopsis minima. RNAcentral's name for it is "LSU rRNA". It matches the Rfam family "Eukaryotic large subunit ribosomal RNA", at positions 75 to 861 of the family's 3401-position model. The record is from RNAcentral. Lineage: Eukaryota; Fungi; Ascomycota; Sordariomycetes; Hypocreales; Bionectriaceae.